RNAcentral lists this ribosomal RNA (772 nucleotides) under uncultured bacterium. RNAcentral describes it as "bacterial SSU rRNA". It matches the Rfam family "Bacterial small subunit ribosomal RNA", at positions 8 to 796 of the family's 1533-position model. The record is from RNAcentral.
AGAGUUUGAUCCUGGCUCAGGACGAACGCUGGCGGCGUGCUUAACACAUGCAAGUCGAACGGAAAGGCCCUUCGGGGUACUCGAGUGGCGAACGGGUGAGUAACACGUGGGUGAUCUGCCCUGCACUUUGGGAUAAGCCUGGGAAACUGGGUCUAAUACCGAAUACACCCCAUUGACUGCAUGGUUGGUGGGGGAAAGCUUUUGCGGUGUGGGAUGGGCCCGCGGCCUAUCAGCCUGUUGGUGAGGUUACGGCUCACCAAGGCGACGACGGGUAGCCGGCCUGAGAGGGUGACCGGCCACACUGGGACUGAGAUACGGCCCAGACUCCUACGGGAGGCAGCAGUGGGGAAUAUUGCACAAUGGGCGCAAGCCUGAUGCAGCGACGCCGCGUGGGGGAUGACGGCCUUCGGGUUGUAAACUCCUUUCAGCACAGACGAAGCGCAAGUGACGGUAUGUGCAGAAGAAGGACCGGCCAACUACGUGCCAGCAGCCGCGGUAAUACGUAGGGUCCGAGCGUUGUCCGGAAUUACUGGGCGUAAAGAGCUCGUAGGUGGUUUGUCGCGUUGUUCGUGAAAACUCACAGCUUAACUGUGGGCGUGCGGGCGAUACGGGCAGACUUGAGUACUGCAGGGGAGACUGGAAUUCCUGGUGUAGCGGUGGAAUGCGCAGAUAUCAGGAGGAACACCGGUGGCGAAGGCGGGUCUCUGGGCAGUAACUGACGCUGAGGAGCGAAAGCGUGGGGAGCGAACAGGAUUAGAUACCCUGGUAGUCC